GACAGAGGGUGCGAACGUUGUUCGGAAUUACUGGGCGUAAAGCGCGUGUAGGCGGCAACGCAAGUCGGGCGUGAAAUCCCUCGGCUCAACUGAGGAACUGCCUUUGAAACUGUUUGGCUCGAGUCCGGGAGGGGGUAGCGGAAUUCCCAGUGUAGCGGUGAAAUGCGUAGAUAUUGGGAGGAACACCAGUGGCGAAGGCGGCUACCUGGACCGGAACUGACGCUGAUGCGCGGAAGCGUGGGGAGCAAACAGG
Molecule: ribosomal RNA, 253 nt
Filed under: uncultured bacterium
Lineage: Bacteria
Description: partial 16S ribosomal RNA
Rfam family: Bacterial small subunit ribosomal RNA
Source: RNAcentral